UACUCAUAUACAUUAAAUAAAUAAUAAAUCUUUUUUAAAAAGUUUUCAAUUAUGGAGUAGUAUUUGGACUGGUUCGUUUUAUUGUUAACUUGACACAAACUAAACUCAUCUGGAAAAAGGGAACUUUAACUGAGAAAACUACCUUUCAGAUUGGCCUGUCAGCAAGUCUAUGGGUGAUUUACUCGAUUAAUGAUUGAUUUGGGGUAGACUAGCUUGUGGGUGGUACCAUUCCUGGGACACGGUCCUUGGUUGAAUAAGAAAGCAGGGUGAGCAAGCCAUGAAGAGCAGUUGAUAAGCAGUGUCCCUCUGUGGCCUCUCACAAAGUGAGAAGAAUGUGCUACCUGGCUGGAGAGAUGUGGGAGAAAGGAGUGGCCACUGUUGGGGAAUGAAGAGCUCUUCUGAGGCCCAUGGCGAGCUACAAGCUCUCUCCUUUCUCUGCUGCUGCUGACCAGGCCAGGCAUCUCCACCUGACAGAUGCAGACUAUAGUUCAGUCCAUGAGGGCUGUGUCCCUAUUCUAAUUCUUUCAGGCUGGUUCCGAGGUGGGGCCCAGAUUUUGGAGGUGGGAGAAGAAAGCCAGAACAGUCUUGCCUUCCAGUUUCCCUUUCCCAUUAGUGAGAAUAAAUAUCUUGAUCCAUACUUGAUUUUGAUGUUAAUCUCCCAGUCAAUACAGAACAUUAAAGGGAGCUGGCCAGUGGGCUUGUGCCUCGGUGUUCUGGUCAUGGAAAGCAUCUGGUUUAUGUUUCAGUGAUCAUUUUGAAUGAGAUCAAUGAGAUAAGGCAGAGACAAGGCAGAAGUUCUGGAGAACUUUUCUUAAGUUUUGCUGUUAAGACACUUCUCUACUAAAAAGCAUCAACAAAACUUCUCACAACCAUGAAACACUGAAAUUUCCUGGUGACAUUCAUCAUCUCACUGACAAUAGGCUAGUCUUCAGGUUGUUUCCUUCCUGAGAUAUUCGAUUCCAGUGAACAAGAUGUGCUACAGAGUGACUCAGGCAGCUAGUUUUGAGUAGUAUUCUUUAGAGCUAGAAAAUGCCAUGGGUAAUCUGGUAAAAUGCUGUUCUUAUAUGUAGAAGGGAGAGAUUAUCUUAGUCCAUUUGUGCUAGUGAACAAAAUACCGCAGCCAGAUUAAUUUAUAAAGAACAGAAAUAUAUUUUUAACAGUUAAAGAGAACCUGAGUUCUGCUGCCAAGAUGGUGCCUUACUGUGGCACCAUCCAAAGGACAAGAGAAUUGUGUCUUCAUAGGAGAGAAGGGGGAAGGCAAAACACGAUGGCAUGGUCUCUUCUUCAGACACCUUUCCCGGUAUUGACAUUAACCCAUCUACAGCGGAAACUUCAUGGCCUACCCUCUUCUAAAAGGGUCCAGUUCCUACUACUAUUGCAUGAAGGUUAAUGUUUCCAACAUGUGAAUUUAAAUUUGAGGGAACACAUUCAAGCCAUAGCAGAAAUGCUAAUUUAGUAGGUCCUAGAGAGUCCAUGACUUGUUCCUGUGAAGCAGGAAUUGAAAGAAUAUCCAUUAUUGAUAAAAUAUUGACGUGAGCGCAUUUUUUGAAGUUUAGAAAUUAUAUAGAGAGACAAUUUUGUAGACACAGAGAUGAAAGAGUUCUUGGUUCAAGAGUAAACAUUGGGAUCCCAGGCAAUAGCUGGAGGGCUUAUGGAGAACAUGAGGCCCAAGCAUCCAUGUCUGCAUAUCUUUAUGUCCUGAGAAAUUAAACGACCCUGAUUCAGUAAGAAGGAGAGGUCUCAUUUCUGUAGAAAACAGACCAUGUCUGGGUUAUAGCAGAUACUGACAUCCCUUCUGAGGACUCUGGGAAGAUCUAGACCAUAGCAAGAUUGUGGAAGACUAGAAAUCCUUUAAAGUACCCAGCCCUCUUCUGAUGGCCUGUGGCCCUUCUUUCCUGGGUAUGUAGACUGUUCCCCUGCCUUGGGAAACACAAUAUAGCAUAUUGUUGUGAGGGUCCCAACUUCAAGAGACUGACUAUAUUUGUGUCCAUGAUUUACAUGGACAUUGUGCUCCAUGUCAUAGAACUGUGACACUUAGUAUGUACUCCACAGGGAAGAGAUCUCAUCAGCCCUGUAGAGGCCCAAACAGCAAUGUCACUGGCUCCUGCGCAUGAGAUCUGUUGAUAUCCCAGUGAACAAGCAAGUGAUUUGCCAGCCAUGUGAGGGACUCUCCAGCCCUAGAUGGGUCCUCACCAUGUCUCUGUGGAGUCCAGAAAGCCUUCCUUGUCUCCUUUCCUAACUGGGCAAAUCAAUGAGUGCUUUAGGCAACCUGAAUUGGGGGUGGCUUAUGGCAUAGCAACAAAGAAUGAGGCCAAAGCAUACCAGCAGCCAUCAACAUCUUCUAAAGACAAUCAAAAGUAGCACACAUGCAUGAAUAAUCACAAGCAGAAGAAAAUGAGAAUUUUUAUAAAGAAGCAGUUGAGAAAUAUGACCAGACUUCUCUCAAACAGAAGCUGGUAUGGACGUACUAUUGAGGGUAAAGUGUACUUCUGAGAUUUGUAUGAUUCAUUUCUUGAAGGAUAAAUGGAUGAGCGUGCAUCCAAACAAAGAUUUUAUCUAUAAUGACACUUGGGUGUUUGGUGUACAUCCCGCUACAGCUUCGUGAUCAAGAGGGGAAGAUUUAUAAUUAUAACUCUGCACACAGAGAUAUGUGCAAAAUAUUAUAUGCAGAAGGAGGAUUGAUUCUGUCAGGGAAAUCAGAUAACGGUUGAUGGAGAAGACAGUUGGUACUGCCUAGGAAGUGCGUUUGAGUGAUUGAGAUACCGCAGGCAAAUUCAAAGGGCAAAUCAGGGAGUGGGCAAGAAAUAUUUGUGAUGUAUAUGACAAUUAAAGGUGUGUGUGUGUGUGUGUGUGUGUGUGUGAGAGAGAGAGAGAGAGAGAGAGAGAGAGAGAGAGACAGACAGACAGAGACAGAAACAGAGACAGAGAGACAGAGAGAGACAGAGAGACAUGCAUUUUAUGUGUAUAUGGUAUACAUGUAUAAUUGUUCAUGUGUAUGGAUGUGGUCACACAGAAGCCACAGCAUGCACGUAGAGGUCAGAGGAUAAUCUUGGGUGUCAUUUCUCACCUUCUACCUUAUUUGAGACAGAUCCCUUGUCUUUCACUGCUAUGUAAGUCAGGUUACCUGGCUUAUAUACUGGGCAUUCUGCUGUCUCUGCCUCCAGUCUUUGUGUAGGACCUUAGACUUGAUAUAUAUAUGUGCUCUACUGUGCCUGGCUGGAUUUCACAUAGGUUCUGGGAUCCCAGCUCAGGUUGUCAGGCUUGUUCCAUAAAUGCUUCAUGUACUUCUCCAUCUCCUUCAUCACAACUAGAUUUUUUGAGGCCAUAACCUUACAGCCUGUGACCCAUAAAGUACUUAUUUAAAAGACAGCCUUCUGGAAAAAAUGUAAUCUUCAACCAAUGAAAGUAGAAUCCAUAGCUCUUAUUGGCAAUGACAGACAGCCUGUUGGUCUUUGAUUUGGAAAGUCAGGAUGGAAUCUGACAGAUCCAGAAGUAGAGAUGCACUUGUGAUGCAGAGAGCGGGUGGUAGAACAUGACAUGUCAUCUCCGCUUUCCAUCUUCGAUACGCUGGGUUUCAUUACUUGUAGGGUAGCAAUGUGGCUUUCAGACUCUAGCUAGAUGGUGACAAGUCUUUCUGUUUAGGAAAAAAAAUCCCAGUAUGCAUUCUGUGUAACUGAAAAUGAAGGGAUUCUUUGUUCUGUUUUGUUCGUUACAAUCCCUGCCUAAUUAGCAUUAGCUCAAAUGCAUCUUUGACUUUAAUAUGUAAUAGCAUAUAAAUGUGCCAAGCUCAAAGGAUCUUAAAAUGACUUGGCUCUCAUUCAUUUGACAAAUCUAUCUAGCCGUUAGUCAUCAGGAGACUAAGAUGAGCUACACAGUUAGCCCUGACUUCUAAAUUACCUGCACCUCCCAACUUCUGUACUGUAGCAUCGUGGCAUGUGGACUUCUGCUCUCCUUCCCAAAGCUACCCAAUUACUCCUCAGAAUUCUUGGCAAAUGUUCAUUCUAUCAGAGGAUUACAAACACGUUAGUGGAAAUAAUAUAGAGAGUGUUCUUUCUGACUUGUUUGGACUUGGAACCAGUAAUAAAGAUGUUCUAGGCUCACUCAAGUGCUUGGGGUGAAUUGACACCAUUCCCCCCGCCCCCAAACCUGUGGCAUUCCCACGUACUGGAGAAACACAGUAGUGGGGAGAGCAUGGCUCAGUGGAUAAAGUUAAACUCUGGCUUUUCAGGCCCCACUGUAUGUUUCAUCCACUAACUUGAACUAGGAAAGGGAGACUUCAAAGAAGGCCACUCCAUAGUUCGUAUCAUCCAGAUGAUGAUCUGAUUGUCUUGAAAGAAAGCUGAAUACCUUGCCUGUCAUUAGACUGGAAACUGAAGAACUUGAUACCUCAGAUUCAAUUUUAUAAAAUGAUUUUUUUCCUGUGAAGAGUCAACUCAAAGCACAUCCUGAGUUUUCCAUAAUUGGAACUAGAGAAAUCUAAAGUACCCAAGGCUAUUGCUUACUGCUUUCUGAGUGCCUGAGUGUUUUUGGUCCAGUGGUCCCAUAAGCUAUUAAACUUUUAUUAAUGUGUUGAAAAGAAAAUGCUUUGCUAGAGCGCCACACUUCUUAGAGCAGAGAUAAAUAGGAAUAUAUAAUAUAAACUGCAAGGGCCAGCCACAUUUGUAACUCAAAGUGUGGAGGAGGCAUGUGUAAAUUUGGGGGAGUUAAGUGCUUACCUAGGAAAGAAUAAAUACCCUAAAUUAAUCUAAACUUAAGAGACUAGAAAAAAUAAGAGCAAAUUAAAGCCAAAGCAAGCAGAGUGGGGAAACUACAAAGAGCAGCGAUCGAUACAAUUGAAAACAGAAACACAAUAGGAAAAUCAAUACGGCCAAAGCCAGCUCUUUGAAAAGGUCAAUUAAAUUGAUGAACCUCUUGCCAGACCAAGAAGGAAAAAGAGAGAAGGCAAAAAUUACCAAUAUUAGACAUGAAGAAUAGGUCUUAGUAUGAAUCCCGUAGUCAUUAAAUGUAUAAUGAGAAAGUGCCAAGAACAUCUGUCUGUACAUGAAUUCAACAGCUUAGAUGAAAUGAACUGAGUCCUUGAAAGUAUAAAUUACCAAACCCAAUCAAACAGCAAAAUAAAAAGAAACAAGUGAAAGUAAUUUAAUAAUAUGCUUAAUUUACUCCAAUAUACACCAAAUAUUACCAUUUAGCAAGUAAUCAUUUUAAAAUUACAGAUGAAAUAUUGCAUCAGACCAGUGAGAUACUGUGACUUUAACCCAUCCCUUGCAAAUGAUUAGUGGUCACCAUGUGUCCAGUAUGGUAGAUUUGGAGAAUAAAGGAGUCUACAUCUUGGGAUUUCUUUGCCUUGUUUUCUAGCUCAAGGGGGAACUUAGGAAGAGUCAGUGCCAUGUAAGUCCUGAAAAGAGAAACAGUGGCCUGAUAUUUCUGUCAGGGGAACUAAAUUUUAAAAGAAAAAAAUGUUUUCUAGUGGUAGAUUUUUAUAACUAGUUAAGCAAUGUUAUUGAACAUGGUUGUAAGAGGAAUAAAAAUAUUUUUCUGAUGCAAUACUUCUGAGAACUGUUAUGUGAAUAUGUGUGAAUGUGUUUGUAGCUGUGGCUGAGAAGCAUAUGAAUGUGUGUUGUGAUGGCUUGUAUAUGCUCCACCCAGGGAGUGGCACUUCUAGAGAGUGUGGUCCUGUUGGAGGAGGUGUGGCCUUUUUGGAGUAGGUGUGUCACUGUGGAUGUGGACUUUAAAACCCUCAUCCUAGCUGCCUGGAAGUCAGUAUUCUGCAACAGCCUUCAGAUGAAGAUGUAGAACUCUCAGCUCCUCCUGUACCAUGCCUACCUGGAUGCUGCCAUGUUCCUGUCUUGAUUAUAAAGGAAUUCUUGUUCUUUACAAGACUUGCCUUGGUCACGGUGUCUCUUCACAGCACUAAAACCCUAACUAAGACAUGUGUGAAUGUAUUUGCGUGUAUGUUUCCUAACUGUUUGAAACUGAUUUUGCUUUAAACAGUAAUGUCUUUCAAACUACUGGAGUGAUGGCUCAGUGGUUAAAGGGACAACUCUUUUAGAGGACUUGUGUUAGGUUCCCAGCACACACAUCCAUGCAGUUAACUCUAGAUUCAAGGGAUCUGAUGCCUCUGGUCUCUGUUGACACCUGCACUCAUCUACACAUACCCACGCAGAGAUAAUCACACACACACACACACACACACACACACACACACACACACCUAGAAUUAUAAUUUAAAAUUUUUAAAGGAAAUAGUUUGAAUUCAUGAAGGUAAAACUGUGUGUUACUACUGUUUGAAAAGCUACCAGUAGACGACCAUAAUUAAAUGGCGAGUGGCCUGGUUCCCACUUCUGGCAGCAUCACUGCACAUUUCAUUAAUACUUGUAUGUGUAAUUAAUUUGUUGUCUGUUGUUCAUUCAUGGCUCACAUAUUGCUCAGUGGAUUUCUCAUGGUUACAUUAUGUAAUGAUGAUAACAUCAGAGACUAAAUGCCAUUCAGAUUCUAAAAAUAACUGUAAUCGUUUCUUAAAUAUGUUUUUGCUUAAUUGGGCUCAAUGUUGGCUAACAGAUCAUUAAAGGUUUUGUUACUUGAGUGAUGGGUAUUGUAAUGACUAGUGAGGAUGUGCUUUCUGUGGUUAAAUACCUUGGAGAUUUCUGUAUUUCUUAAUUCAUUUAUAUAUAUUUCACAUCUAACUAGUUUUCAGUCAUGUCAUAGAUAAUGAUCCAAAUGUUGAAUAUAAACAAGGGGAGUAGUGCAAAUACGGUGUCUAAUAGCUGGCGUGUUCCAUCUAUUUUUCUUUUCUUUUAAUUACAUGUAAAAAUAGGGCAAAGGUUGAAAUAGUUUGUGAAAUCUCUCAACCAGGCUGGCAACAGCAUCAUCUGAAUGCCUCAGAAGUGAGCCGGUCCUCAGAUCCAAGCCCUGAGCUAUGUACCUGGAAAAAGUGAUGGAGAGUUAAGAUUAGGAAGUCAAAGAAUUUAUGCUGGAUUUUCUUUUUCUUCUAAGAGAGAACAAUGUCUGUAUCACUUGAGAUUUACAAGUGGUCUACACCGAAGAGUUUAGCGAAGUAUAGAGAAAUGGAACAUUCUCACCCCUGAUAGUCCUGCCCUGUGCCAGUCAAGGAGUCAGCAUGAGUCAUUGCUUCUAAUAGAGGAGGUUUGGUUCAACCAUCGCAAGGCAAACAAGCAAACAAACAAAUAAUAAUCAUGAUGAUGAUAAUAGUAAUAAUAAUCAACUAGCUACACUUGAAAAUAAUUUAUUUCUAUAGUUAAUAGAAUAUCACCAGCUUGUUGGUCCCUUGUAUUCCUGUGAGGUGUCCUGCCUGUACAUGGCUCAGGGUUUGUGCACAGGGGGUUAUGAAUGUGAAACAUUUAAUAAGUUCUUCCUUCUCCUUGAAAAGCUUUAUAGGUGAUAAUGGCUGUUCCCUGUAUCCAUCCACUGUGCCCUGAUCAUCCUACACAUCCUGAACAGAGCAUGUAAUCCUUACAUUGACCUUACAGGACAGGAAACACAUGUAACAGAUGCCGAAACAGGUUCAGAAAUUGCUAGUGACCAAUCUCACAGUGGCUUCUGCCAGACCAAGUCAUCGGUAUCCAAGUUCAUUUAAGGAUGUAUUAUUAGUAAUCAGAAUGUAGAUAUUGCAAGAUAAUAUAUGAAAAACUGUAUUUUCUGAUGUGCUGAAGGAUAGCUUGAUAGAAAGGAUAGCUCAAAAGUGGAGAGUGUAUUUGGAUCUUGAAGGAAGUGACAUGUUAGGGUUGAGAGUCGUCAGCUACAAAGAAAAAUGAAACUAGGGCAUUUGCAGGAAUAUUAGAUUAGGCCACCCAGACCCAGAAAAGCAAAAAUCACAUGUUGUCUCUCCUAUGCAGGUCUUAAUUUUUAAUGUUUAUAUAUGUAUAAAAAGGUAGUGUGAGAGUGGACAUAGAACACUAAACUAGGUAGGAGAUCAUGGAGUGGAGAAGCAGGAGGGAUUGAUAAAAGAUAGGAGAGGUCAAAAGGUCACACAGGAUAUUAAAAAGUUGAAAAGUGCUACUAGGGGAGGGAAGGGCAGAGGAGGAGGAGGAGGAGCAGAGGAGCAAAGGGCAACAAUGAAACCAAAUUCUUUGUAUGCUAAUUUUUAUGAAUACUACAAGUGUAAGUAUGACUUGGCAUGGCAGAAGCCACUGUGGGAUUGAUCAUUAGCCAUUUCUGAAUGUGUUUAGGCAUCUGUUGAAUGUGAGUGCCUCCUAUCCUGUAAGAUUGGCUUAAGGAUUAAGUUUAAAGAAUUAAGAGGAACGGAUCUGUAACACUGUUGAGAUAGAUAAGGGCAAGACACACAAAGCCUCACAAAGAGCCCUGUCAGGCAUCAAAAGAUAAGACUCCAUUGGUGUGGAAGCCACAGGCUAGAGUCAGAAGAUCGUGUGCUGGGCUCCAGAUUGGGUAUCGUGGUGGUAGUCAAGCAGGGGGUAGAUUUGACAAAAUCGUUUCAUGGUAGUUUCCUUUGUAAUUAUUUACAGGGUGCAGCUGAAUGAGAAAAAUUCUAAACUUAAAGAUGUCAUUGGAAGCUAUUAACGUUGAGAUUUACAUUACAAUUCUGAUGGAAAGUGCAACAUGGGUCAAAUCUAAACGUCUUUGAUAGAGUUCUUAGCACAGUAUGUUUGUUUAGUAGAAAUGACUUUUUGCUAGUGAAUUAUAAACAAGAUGUUUCAGUAUCAGUUUAUUUCACAUAAAGAGUAAGAGAAUAGUCAAAGUUAUCUCACACCCUUAAUCAUGUAGGAUAAGAAUAAAGGAUACCCCAAUGACAUCAUUACAUCACUGCCCACAUGAAAUCAGGAUACCCUAUAUAUGCAGUCACAGCUAACAUUUGCUAGAUGGUCAGUUAUCAAACACAAAAGUUCACUAGUUUAGCGAAAAGAAGAAUGGGCAGUGAGCCCAAGAGAAAAAAAAAGCCAUUUUCAGAUAUCUGACUGCUCUAUUCACAAUAGCAAAGACCUGGAAUUAGCCUAGAUAUCCAUCAAUAGAUGAAUGGAUAGCAAAAUGUGAUUCAUAUAAUGGAAUUCUAUUCCACUGUAAAGAAAAAUGGAACAAUGAAAUUUGUAGAAAAAAAAAUGGAUGGAGCAGUAGAAUAUCAAAUUGAGGUAACCCAGGCUCAGAAAUACAAAUGCUGAACAUUCCUUCUCAUAUGUAGAUCUGUAAAAAAAAACUUUUAUUCUCCUUAGUAACUGUCAUCUCAGGAGCUUGCUGCUUCCAUCUCCUAACCUAGGCCUAGUGCUAGAAGUUUCUAGCCUCUGUAUAAUCAAAUCUAGGCCUAGAAUGUUUUUAGCCUCAGACUUGCUACUGAAUAAACUCACCCUUUCUAGUUCUUUCUGAGUUCUGGCUGGCUGGUUGAACUCAGGACAGUUCUGGCUCCACCUUCUCUCCAAGCUGACUAAUUCAACCUGACUUCUUUUUUGGCCUCUGACAGAAUUGCUCUACUUGGCCUCAAAAUAACUCUGGCAAGCUGUUUUAAUCCUCUGGCUCCUUCUCACUCUCUGGCUCAUUCUGCCUUCACCUGUGUCUAGCUCGUUCUCUCUUCAACCCAUCUCUGUGAAACUCUUCCAGUAAAAUUGCCUCCUUCUCUUUGUCUCUGUACUGCCCCUCAAGUAGCUUUCCUUUUCUCUCCCUUCUUGUGAGAAUUGGGCAUAUCAUAUAAUGUCAAAUCUUUGUCUGAUUCAUUACUUUGUCUGCCGCUCAGUUGAGCAUCACUUAAAAACAUGGGUGCUUUCCUUCUACAAACUAUCUUCAUUGUUUGGGAUUAAAGGUGUGUGCUAAGGACUGAGCCACACAACUAGAAACAGGUUUUUUCCCCCCAGUAAGUAGUACAAUCUUGGGGUUCGUGGCAUAAUCAAAUAUCAUGCAACAGUGAUCCUAGCUUCUAGUGUUUGUACAUGCGUGCAUAUGUGCAUGUGUGUGUAUAUGCAUGUACUUGUGCACAAAUGUGCAUGAACCUGUGUAAGUAGACGUAUGGGUUUCUAUGGGUUCUGGGGAUCAAACUCAGGUCAUGGUGCUUAUGCAGCACGCAGUUCACCAGUGGAGCUAUCUCCUUUGACCCCAUUUGUAACAGGUUUUUAUAUGUGCUUAGUUAUGUGUGAAUGAGCGUGAGCAGAGGUCUAGAAAUGAGAUAGGGAACCACGAGAGGGAAAAGAGGAUGGGAAGGCCAGUAGAACCCAUAGGAUUUGAAAGUGAAAAGGGAAACCCAGGGAAUGAUGUGCCAAGUAAUCACAUGGGAGAGGGCAGAGAGGUGAGACAGGAAGGGCAAGGGUUUGGUUGAAGAGGAUCAACCAAAACACAGAAGGAAACUCAUCUUCUUUUUUAAAAAUUCAAAAAGGAAGAAAAGACGAGACAAGGCAAUGGAAAAUUCGAGGCAAAGAACAUUCAGAGCAUACAAGUAUGAGGGAAAGGAAAUUCCAGGACAAAAAUAUGAAAUAACAUUUGAAAUAGCAACACAUUGGAAAAAUCUAGUGUUAGAUCUGACAACCAGAAAAUGAUUGCUCUCAUGGACGUCUCUAGGGCAUUCCUUUCUUCGGCCAGUGACCAUGCUGUCGUCUGGGUACUUGGAAUUGUCAUCUCUCUAUAAUCUACUCCAGUGUCCUUUUCUUCAGAGAUGCAAAUGUUCCAUGCUGCCUUGGUUGUUGGUCUGUGAACACAGGUCCAUCUCUGAGUCCUGGCCCUGUGUUUGGGCUAUAUGUUAAAUAAAUGUUUAUAGAAUGAAAGGAAGGACUGAAUGAAUGCAUAUCCACUCCAUAACUGGGCAAAAGAAACACACGAAAAUGAAUCCAGGUAAAGAAAUACACUAGAGGUGACUGGAGCCAUACUCACAGACCUGCUCCUCUUGAUCUCGCCAGUUGGAGGGUUUGAAGAAUCAAUAAUUAAUGUAUAGGACAUUCUAGUUCCUAAAACACAUGGUGGGACUGAUUAAUUAUUGAUACUAUUAGUGUUUCUGAUUUGUAUCAUUAUUCUUCUAACUGAGCUGGAGGAUGGAUUUCCAUGUGAAUUAUUGAUACCCUCAUUUUAGAAUGCCAAAGCGGCCUCCCUUGUGAAGUCUUUGCCGAGCUCUGCCCUGCUCUUUGCCUGUCUUUCUCCUCAGAGUUCACUGGGGGUUCUCAGUACACACUUGUUUGAUGCAGCGUGUCUCACCCGAGUGCUGGCUUCAUGUAAGCUUGGUCUGUGUAAAGUGCUCUAAGUGCAGUUUAGUAUUUAGCCCUACACCAUCGUGUGCACCUGACGCGGGCCACAUCCUUAUCCCACAUGGGAUAAGACUGGUUAAAGAAAGGCAUUCUGAAGUUGGCGCUCUUGACUCUUAACAUUUAGCAUUGCUUUUAAUAUUGGUUUGCUUGAAUUUUUAUACAUGUAUAUGCUUCUCAUAAUACUGCAGGGUUUCCUCUGAGUAGAGACUGUAUAGCAAUACUAAGCUAUUAUCUGGUUAACUUUUGUCUAAAUUAGUUGUAGGAACUUUAAAUUGUACCAUGACCCAUACUUGAAGAUAACUCAGUGGGCAAGUAUUGAUUAUUCUGUAUCAACUGGCCUUUAAACAUAAAGUUCAAAUAUGAAAUAUAUUUAAAUGUUUUAAAUGUAUUAUUUGUUCAUAUUUAAAAUAACCGUCUGAGGUUAAGUCUAUAAGAGACAGCAUCUUACCAGUGGAGCCUGUUAGUUCUUCCUAUCCAGACCUGGAUCCAGUGUUGCUAUAUUGUGGUGUAACCUUUGGGGAGCUACUGAUCACUCACUGUUUCAGCUUCCACACCUGUAAGUUUUCACAUCCACUCAGAAAGUGGGCGUGAGUGUCUAGGAGUUGAGAGAGUUAACGCCUUUAAAACAAGGGUUACAUUGAAUGAGUGUAGAAAUGAUUGUAACCAUCACUAUUUUAGUUAUUAUUUUUCUUCUUCCAUUUCCAUGUGAAUGUGGUAGAUUGUACAUACAUGGCAUGCAUGUGUGUAUAUGCAUGUUUGCAUAUGUGGGGCACACAUGUGUACACGUGCACAUGGAGGCCUGAAGUUGACAUCCAGAAUCAUCCAUUGAUGUUCCACCUUGUUCCGUGAGGCAAAGUAUCUCAGGCAAGUCCAGAGCUCACUGGUACAGCUCCUCUUGCUAGCUAGCCAGCUUGCUGUCGGGACCUUCCAUCUCUACUUUCAGACAUUGAGAUUACAGACAGGCACCUAUGUAUAUUUGGCAUUAGGGGUGGGGGAGGUUCUGGGAAUCCGAACUGUAGUCCUCAUUCUAGCUUCAGCACAAUAACUAUCGGGUUAUCCUGCAGCCCCUAUCAGUAUUGGAAAAAAAAAUUAAUUAAUUUUUAUAUGUGUGAAUGUUUUGCCUGCAUGUCUGUAUGUGUACCAGCUGUGUACCUGGUGCCCACAGAUUACAGAAGAAGGCAUCAGAUACUCUGGGAUUGGAGUUAUGAGUUACAAAUGAUUGUGGGUUCUCAUUGGGUGCUGGAAAUGAAACCCAGAUCCUCUGGAAGUGUAGCCAAUGCCUUUAAUGUCUGAGCUUCUCUCUAGUGUCUACACUAUCAGUAUUUUAAUCCUCAUUUUACAAACGAAGAAACUAAUACAUGCCCUAAGCAAGUUCUUAGUCCAGUUCUUAAAGGUUAAGGAAACACUUGUCCUGGAACCCCAGCCCAAUAGUUGCCUUUGUGUCAAAUCGUGCCCAGAUGCAAGCCCUUCAAUCAUUGGCUGGAUUUUAAGGACCCACUCACUGAGGAAAUGUCUAACAGUGACACAGGUUCCUUCUUACCUGACUCAGUAGGACCACUUAGUAAUAUCAAUGUCACAGUUGUGGGUCUCAUCUGAUUUAGAGGAACCAAGUUGCCAUAGCAACAGGAUGGCUGUGUUCUAACAGGCCAGGGUCCAUCCUGUCUGCCUGCUCUGUGCUUGGCAUUGCCAAGGACAUGAAAGAAAUGUAAGAGGCACUCUUGGCUGCUAGAAGUUUAUAAUGUAUAAUGCAUAGAGGACAAAAUGACCCUGUUAGGUCCACGAAGCAAUUAAGUAACUGCGAUCACAACAUCAAGGCUCAAGAUGAUUAAUUAAGUCCCCAGAUGAAGGAUGCUGAUAGCAAAAGCACCAUAGGCAAGUUUGGGGGAGAAAAGAAGUUAAUUUAGCUGGAGCGGUUUCAUGGAGAAGGUGGCAUUUAAGGACAGCUUUGAAAUAAUGGUGUUGUGGGGUCAGUGUGUGAGGGAGAAAAAGUUUCUGGAAGGGAAGGAGGCUACUCUCAGGUCCAAAGUGGCUGCUUCCGCUUUGCUGUGUUUCCCCCUGAGAACAGAUGUGAGCUUAUUACUUAUGUUUAUUUAUUCUUCUGUUUGGUACAAAAACUUCCUAAUGUUCUAGCUUUCAUCACGUCUCAGAGAAUAUGUCAUUCUCCUUAUUGUUGUUGUUGUUUUUGAUCAAGCCUGAAGAGUUCCAGUUACCCGGCAUAA
Mus musculus (house mouse) is the source of this 13408-nucleotide long non-coding RNA. RefSeq annotates it as predicted gene, 39861. The record is from RefSeq and is a predicted model, not a curated record. The transcript has 2 exons. NCBI's taxonomy places the organism in Eukaryota, Metazoa, Chordata, Mammalia, Rodentia, Muridae.